RNAcentral lists this ribosomal RNA (98 nucleotides) under Cavia porcellus (domestic guinea pig). Lineage: Eukaryota; Metazoa; Chordata; Mammalia; Rodentia; Caviidae. The record is from RNAcentral.
GUCUACGGCCAUACCACCCUGAAUGUGCCCUAUCUCGUCUGAUCUCGGAAGCUAAGUAGGGUCGGGCCUGGUUAGUACUUGGAUGGGAGUUAUAGACA